This 703-nucleotide long non-coding RNA is filed under the name Elaeis guineensis (African oil palm). Its description in RNAcentral is "long non-coding RNA (EGUI_LNC064123)". The record is from RNAcentral. Lineage: Eukaryota; Viridiplantae; Streptophyta; Magnoliopsida; Arecales; Arecaceae.
CAUGGGAUUCUAUUUGGGUCUAGAAUCGGAUUUGAUCCUAGGGACUUAAGAUCUUGGUUUGUCAGGUCUUAAGCGGCUAAUCUAUAGAUUGGAUUGAGAUUAAGUCCAAUAGAUGUGUGCAUGUGAGACAUGGAUGUACAAGGGCUCAAGGAGUGCAUCACAUUGGAUUAGCCAUAGGAGUUUUUUGGAUUGGAUCACAUUGAUCCAGUAUAUAUAUACAUUGUAUUGUGUAAGUGAUUGAUUGAAUCUGAAUAGAAGCCAUUUUUCUCUCUACUUUUCUCGCUCUCCUUCUCUUCUCUGAGCCCUAGGGCUUUCUAGGAUUUGAUAGAUCUACUGUCAAUGAUUUUCUUGGAUCCUUGUUGUUGGUUCUGCGAUCAAGACACAGCAAGAAAAGAUUCCAACAUUUGGUAUCAGAACCUUGGAGUUAGAUCUGGUGGAGAAAAGAUCAAAGUUGCAUCUGGAUUGUGGUAAGGUGCUGAACAGAUUUGCCCUAAAACACUGUUUACAUUAUUUUGUGUGUGUUUUUUGAAAUCUGUGUGGGAUGGCAUCGAGUACCAUUAAGGCAGACUUUGAGAAGUUCGAUGGCAAAGGCAACUUUAGCCAUUGACAGCAAAGGAUGAAAGAUCUAUUGGUACAAAAUAUGAUCUACAAGAUCUUGAUUCAGAAAAGACUAGAAAAGAUUUCUGUUAAAGAUUAGGAGGAG